AACGAACGCUGGCGGCGCGCCUAACACAUGCAAGUCGAACGAGAAUCCGGGGCAACCCGGUAGUAAAGUGGCAAACGGGUGAGGAAUACAUGGGUAACCUACCCUUGAGAAGGGAAUAACCCGCCGAAAGGUGAGCUAAUACCCUAUACGCUAUCUUUUUUUCGAAAAGGAUAGGAAAGCCGGGUCGAGGACCUGGUACUCAAGGAGGGGCUCAUGUCCUAUCAGCUUGUUGGUGGGGUAACGGCCUACCAAGGCUACGACGGGUAGCUGGUCUGAGAGGAUGAUCAGCCACACUGGCACUGAGAUACGGGCCAGACUCCUACGGGAGGCAGCAGUGAGGAAUAUUGCGCAAUGGGGCGAAAGCCUGACGCAGCGACGCCGCGUGGGGGAUGAAGGUUUUCGGAUUGUAAACCCCCUUUCAUGAGGAAAGAUAAAGUGGGUAACCACUUAGACGGUACCUCAAGAAGAAGCCACGGCUAACUUCGUG
This 487-nucleotide ribosomal RNA is filed under the name uncultured bacterium. Its description in RNAcentral is "bacterial SSU rRNA". It matches the Rfam family "Bacterial small subunit ribosomal RNA", at positions 29 to 507 of the family's 1533-position model. The record is from RNAcentral.